This is a non-coding RNA of Potamilus streckersoni, 73 nucleotides long. The record is from the annotation of a GenBank genome assembly. Lineage: Eukaryota; Metazoa; Mollusca; Bivalvia; Unionida; Unionidae.
GCUUUGUUAGCUCAGUUGAUACAGCAUCUGACUUGUAAUCCAAGGGUCACAGGUUCAUUUCCUGUCCAGGAUA